Molecule: long non-coding RNA, 201 nt
Organism: Cryptomeria japonica (Japanese cedar)
Lineage: Eukaryota; Viridiplantae; Streptophyta; Pinopsida; Cupressales; Cupressaceae
Exons: 3
Source: RefSeq, a predicted model, not a curated record
GAUUCAGGUCAUGAGGGACCCUCUACAUCACAUCGAGAAGAGGGUCUGACUAUUGUGACACCAUCUAUGGUGGACACUACCAUUAGGAUAGGUUAUCCUCAUAAUUUUGAUCAGAGCCAAUUUGAAUGUACAUCGACAUCCUUUGAGGAGUUAGCUAGCACUACAUUUGGUGUUGAUACUGCACAAGAUACUGCUAGAGGA